GGAAGCCGUGCUCUUGCAAAGUAACCAGAAAUCUGCUCAUUUUAAACGUUACAUUUACGAAGACACAAAUACUGUCAGCGCUUUAAAAUAUUACUAUUUAGCUCAUGAACAGUUUGGAAUUGCUUUGAAGAGGUGCCUAAGGCCAUGGAAAUCACCGAAAGAUAUGUUUUGGUUUAAAGACAUAGUUUCAAGACUGGCUCCAGUUUCAAGUCUGGCUACAGGGUGUGGCAAGAUGUACAUCGAGAACAGCAUCAAGACCAAAUUUCAAGAUUGGGCUUCAUUGUACGAGUGUUAGGAACCUCAAAGAAAUUUCAAGAUAUGCUUGAUCUCCAAGACUUCUUCAGUAUCAAGACUAAGAAGAGUUGGGCUGGGUAAUGCUACAUGCUAGGCUUAGUUCUGGUUAAUAUUUUUUUGAGAUCAAGUUCAUUAAUUACAAUAUGAUGAAGAGUAUAACAUUACUAUUAUGAAAUAAGUGCUGACAAGGGAGUAGGAACCAUUUGUUUUGCAUACUUUUGAUGGUAUUAAUGUAAUAUGUCUGACAUUAUGGCAAAAUCUAUUGACUUCAAGAGAGUUGUAGAGAAAGAGGAUAGUGUUGUAUACAAGGCAGCCGAAAAUAUGGAAGAUGAAUCAAAUUGGAAGGAAGUGUUAAAUACCGGGCCUGACGACAGUGUAUCCAGGGUGUCUUAUAGGUCACAGGUAAAAGAUUCUUGUGCUAUGAGUAUAUUAAAAGAAGUGAAUCAGGCUAAGGUCCUGAUUUGACCAACCCAUUAGUCCAGAUAUUAUUUAGGUUCCAUCAAGGUCAUUUUGCAUUCAUUUUGCAUUCAAGUUGGUGUUCCAGAAAAGGAUGGGGGUUAUUUAAGUUUUUUUGUGGUGGCCAGAUGGAAAUAUCGAACAGGCUGUAAGUGAAUAUCGCAUGGCUGUUCCCCCAUUUGCAGCAAAGUCUUGUCCUAGUUCUAAUUUUGCUCCACAGAGAACAGCAAAGGAUUUUGAAGUGAAUAUUUGCCAGAAGUUCAAAAGACCAUAUUUAGCAAUUUUUAUGUUGGUGAUUGUCUGAAGUCAAUGGAUAUGGAAGAUGAAUCCAAUUUUUAGUAAUGAAUUGUUGCAUGUAGGUGGCAGGCUUACAAAGGCUCCAUUAAGACAUGAUAACAAGCAUCCAUUUUGUCAAGUAAACACCAUGUUACAGAUAUGAUCAUCAGAGAUUGUCAUGAGAGAGUGAGUCACCAAGAGCGUGAACAUGUCUUGAGUUCACUUAGAGCAGUGUUGUCCAAACAUUUUCGCCUAUUGUACCCUUUAUUAUCUUCUUGUGCUGUUACGUAUCCAUGGCUAAACAAACGGUUUUAUUUAGGACAGUGCAAAUAAUAUACUAAUUAUGAAAAGAUGGGAUUGCAGGAGUGUUGGUCAAUAAAUUCGAAUUUAAGACACGAAU
This is a non-coding RNA of Penaeus vannamei (Pacific white shrimp), 1426 nucleotides long. NCBI's taxonomy places the organism in Eukaryota, Metazoa, Arthropoda, Malacostraca, Decapoda, Penaeidae. The record is from RefSeq and is a predicted model, not a curated record.